This is a non-coding RNA of Castor canadensis (American beaver), 8964 nucleotides long. The record is from RefSeq and is a predicted model, not a curated record. NCBI's taxonomy places the organism in Eukaryota, Metazoa, Chordata, Mammalia, Rodentia, Castoridae.
UUUUAUGUAACCAUUUAAAAUAAAUUUAGAAAGGAGUGCUGUCUUAUUUUAAUUUUGAGAAAGAUCUUAAAAAGACAGUGGCCUGUGUGCUUUAAAAAGUCAUUUUAAAGUGAUGGGAAUGGGCCUGUACUAAAACUUUAAUUUGGGGGAGUUACAUGGCUGGCUUCCUGGCAAAGAAACAGUCUAAGCUUGCCGGUAGUUCUGUGAAGACAGAUUCCUGUCCUUGAAGUCGGCAUCAGCUUCAAGCCCAGCAUGGUGCUGGUGGCUGCUCAACAGAUAGAGUAAGUGGCGUGUAUUAGGUGCUCAGUUACUGUUUCCUACAUGAACUGAAGUUGAAACGUGUUUCAGAGAAUGAGCAAUCCGGCUGCUGUUAAGGUUUGUGUAGAGAGAGGUAAAAGGGAAGAGUGAAGUUGGCUGAAGCAUGUGGAAGGCUAGGGAAUUUGAGCUCUAGUCUCUAGUCAGUGAGGGAGGUUUUGCAGCAAGGCACUGAUGUGAUUAAGUUGGAGGGCUUUUUUUUUGUUUGUUUGUUUAUUUAUUUAUUUUUUGUAGUACAAGGGAUUUUACCCAGAUCUUGAGUACUUUAGACAAGCAUUCUUACCAUUUGAGGUAUCACACCCCCAAGCCAAGUUGGAGGUUUUUUUUGUUGUUGUUGCUGUUGUUUGAGACAUUGUCUUCUAUGUAGCCCAGGCUGGCCUAGAACUUGAGAGCUUUUUGCCUCAGCCUCCAAGUUGGAGAUUUUAGUCAUUUGUUGGGUUCUGGUAAGUAGGCUAUAUUGGAAGGGAAGGUUAAAGGCAAGGACAUAACAAUUCUUUUUUUUUUUUUCCCCCUAAUUUCAGUAGUUUGCAUCUGAUUUCUUUACAUUAUUCUACAUGAUGGCAAAGGAAACCUCCAAACCAGUUAGUACUAAUUAGUUGUCAUGAAUCUAUAUAGUGAAAGAAUACAUCAAAGACGUAAGAUGAAAUGUUACCAUAGCCAUCAAUAUUAGUAACUAUAAGCUUUCUCUAAAGAAAUAUAGAGCAGUUGAUAUUCUAUAAAAUAUCUUCAAGCAACUUUGAGACUUCCAUAUGCUAGUCCUAUGCUUAAUUAAAUAAGGUUGGUGGCAGUAUUUUAAAUAUUGAGGACACCAGAAUUCUGUCCUAAGAUGGACUACUUCCCACUGCCAUUGGCUGUCUUUAUUCUUAAAGUUGCCACAGAACGCCAGGAAGAUUUAGGGGCCCAGGGAAAGCUGGGGUCUAACAUUCAAUCUACCUGCAGUUUAGAGUCCUUGCUCCACUUGAUGCCAGUUGUGAGUUAACUUCCUUCAGUGUACAAUGGGGAUAAGAAAUAGCUACCACAUGAGAUUGCUUUGGGAUCAAAUGAAAUAGUAAGAUACAAAGCAAAUACCUUGUGCUUGUUACAGAGUAAAUCCUCAGUAAAUAUUGGUUAGUAACAUCAUUAGUAUUAUUAGUAACCAAUACUAAUUUUGGUUAGUAACAUUUAUAAAGACCAGGACUUUACAGGAUCAACAAACAGUUUAUAAGUCUCUAAGUGCAAUUCUGAAAGAGGCUAGCUUCCUAGAGGUGGCUUCUCUGCAGAAGUCCCAUAUUAAAGAACAUCUUCCUUGUUUGUCUUCAGUGGUGCCACCUGGGGGUGGACAUGCUUGUUUGGGUGCACAAACAAGUCAGUGUCAGUGUGCCCCUUUCCUUGGAGAGCCUCACAGGUCUGCAGUUUGAAAGCAAUUUUCCUAAACCAGAGAAAGGCAUGGCUGAAUUACCAGAUGUAAAAGAUUUCAUUUAGCUAAGCCUACUACACUCAAGGGCCUUCUGAUUUUACACAUUCUCCUGAGUAACAAGAUAGAAUAAUGUCACAUAUUGCCCCUCUCCUGUACCCUUUAAAAACUUGGGAGUGUAGAUGCUGACCUGAGGACCUUGCUAAUACUUAGAAAGAAUGCUGUUAGAAAGAAACUGGUGAAGACCAUUGGAGGAAUUAUUUAGGCGCUCCUGUUAGGGAGACUUGAAGUACUAAGCAAGGCUAGAAACUGGGAUUGAUUACAGGUGAGGCUGUGGCGUCUUGCUGGAGGUCAUUAUACUAAAGAUGAAACCUGCUUAUCCCGGGAGUCCUCUGUGUAGUGGAAAAACACCUAGCAGAAAUCUAGAGACUGUUCUUAGUAUUAGACUGUGUGACCUUGGGUGAGUUGUACACAUUUUCUGGGCUUUACGUUCCAUCCUCAUCUCUGGCAUUUAUUUAUUGACUCUGUUUCAGUGUUUCUCGUUUGCAGAGUGUCACUAAAAUGGAAUAAUUACAGUUUUUUUUUCCUAAUUUUGAGGCUUUUCAAUUGAAUGGAUAAGCUUUUCUCAGUUUUUCUUACAUAAAACUAUCUUAAACUUUUCUGCCACUCUUGUCUUUUUAACAUACCAAAUGUUCAUUGAGUAUGUGCUCUUUUUACUUUCACUGACAUGGUAGGUGAAAUUUUACAUUCUUUUCAGAUGUCAUACAUGUGCACAUCUCUGCUAGUAAAACCUAUCCCUGUUUGUGGUGGACAGUCCACAUCCUGCAUCCCCAUUUCAUGGUAUUUUGAGUGUCCCCUAGUGGCACUGCAAUUCAAAGGAUCUAAGUGACCCUUGGAUUGCUCCACUGCAGGCCUGCUAAAGUCAGGCAGGGUAGGCCCACUGUGCCCGGGCAGUGUGGCAUAGAAGUGCCAUACUAUUUCUUUUGGGUGAUUAAAAUAGAAGGUUUUUGAUAUAGUCAAAAUCAUAAGGCAUAGAUCCCUCGGGGGCCUCAGGACAUCUUCCUUGGCUCUCCUUAACCAAGGCUCAGAGUUAUUCAACAUCAGGAGCUAGCAGGAGGCUUAGCAGGGCUGAGUGAGCAGGGCUCCAGGCUGGCAUGCUUUCACUGCUGCUUACCACCACUGAUCUUGAGAUGUCAUUCAGGUUUUUCCAUUUUUCUUGUGUACAGAGGGGAGCAGCAGUAACCCACCUGUUACUUAUGAGGAACUUUCUGCAAAUAUAUGACAUCAUGGAAAUCUACCUGGCUUGCUCUGGAAGUAGUUCAGUGACAACAUGUAAAAAUCAGUCUGGACUAACAAAUAUUCAGGCAACUUCUGACCUAUACACAUCUGCAUCAGAAUUUCUUGGGUGAGUGGGCAUUCUGACUUCUGAAUCAGAAUUUGCAGGGAUAGGACUGGAGAACUUGCAGUUUUAAUAAUUGCCUAGAUGAUUUGCCUUGAAGUUUGAGAAUCAUUGACUGCCUUAGUUCAUAGAGACUUUACAACAAAUCGCAUUUCGCUAAUGAGGGCAUAUGCUCAAAGAAGGUAAGUAAAUUCUAUGACAUCCAUUGUGUAUCCUCACCUAUAGUCAUCUAUAUUUGCUGUGUGCCUGCAGACAAGUUACGUAUGAAGUCUAAAUUGAAAAUUAUCAUUGUAAACAGUUAUGUUUUGGAUAAGAGUGUCCCUCAAAGGGACUUAUGCAUUGAAGGUUUGGUACCUGAUGCAAGCAGUGUUCAGAGGUCGGGCUUUUGGGAAGUGACUAAAUCAUGAGGGCUUUGCUGUCAUUAGUGGACUAGUCCAUCAACGGAUUCACAAUUUGAAUAGACUGUUGGGAGAUGGUGGAACUGUGGAAGGUGGGUCUUGGUUGGAGGGAGUGGGUCACUGGGGCAUGUUUUUGAAGGAUGUCUUGCCCUACCCUCUUUCUUUUUCUCUCUCUCUCUCUCUGCUUCCUGUCCACCAUGAGAUGAGUUGCUUUCUCUAUCAUACGCUUUCUGCCCUGAUGUCCAGCCUCACUAUGCCCAGAAACAACAAAGCCAGACAACUAUGGACUGAAACCUUGAGCUAAUAUAAAUCUUUCCUCCUUGUAAGUUGAUUUUUCUCAGGUAUUUGUCACAGUGAUGAAAAGUCUGACUAUUACAACAACUUAGCUAAUUGUGAAACCUGGGUGAUAAUGAUAAGUAAUCUUUUCUGGCUCUAUUUUUACUUCUGUGCAGUUAUUUCAGAGACUUGGCCAGGUGAUAUGAAGUGCCUUAUUAUACUUUAUAUAUAACAGUGUCCUAUGAUACUUUUCUGUGGGUAGAAAUUCUUAAACGUUCAUUAUUGAUUGUCUGUUAGGUUGCUUGUUUUACUUGCUGUCCUGUGAGGUUUUUAAAAAGGGUUGGGUUUCCUCCCCUGUCACACCACUGUAUCUCUUCAAAGCAGCGACUCUUUGUGGAUCAUGUCAGUAAUGUUCAGUGCUGAGACAGCGAGGAAUGCGAUAUCUGUGCGAUGAAUGACUGAUGAUAUUGUGUCAGCUAAAGGCUGCUAAUACCAGUCUCUCUCUGAAACCAGCCCCUGUGCGUCCUUGGCUUGUAAAGGCAAUGAAAUACGGUCCUAUCUAUGCCUUAGGCCAUUUCUCUCACUGCUGUCCUUCAAAGACUGCAGACUCAUUCAGCUAGCCAGCCUUGGCCUACUCUGGCUCCUAUUUUUUCUGGGAAUUAACCUUUCCUUUUCCCCCUGCCUCCUACAUAUGCCAUUAUGUGUUUGUCAAUGUUAGACUAAAAGAGGUGCAGAAUGGAUAGGUGGGGAGACAAAUAAUUCAGUGGUAGCACUGGGUCUAUUGUGGAGAAGUGGUCCUGCGAAGGGGAUCCCCAGCAAGAGAGCUGGAGCCCCUAGCUGCUUACAGACUGGGGAUAGAUAAAAGGUUGGUAGAGAAGUCCCAGGAAGGUUAUUAGGCAGGAAAAUCCUCAAUGCUCUAGAUUCCAAGGAAGGGCGAGUAAUUUCUUCUAGGCCAGGUGGGUAGUUUCUAGUAAAUGGCUAAAGGCGGAUGUCUAUUUUUCUUCAGGCCUGGGUAGAGAGUUUCCAGUAAGUCACCUUCAAGGGGGAGAGGGUCCACUUCUAACAUGGCUUCCUUUUGUUCGCCUUAACAGUUAAUUGUAUGUCUCUUGUCAUAGAGAAUUGAAACACUGCUUACAAUUAUGGUUAUUUUUAUUCAUGCUUUUAUUUCUUUUGCUAGGUAGUAAAGAAAAAGGAGUUUUAAAUCCAGGAAGAAUUUAAGAUGUUUUGAGAAAGCUUACAAAAAGUUUCAGAAGACAGCUAGCUGCUGGCAUACUUGAGGUGUAAUUCUGGCCCAGCUUCUUUCUCACUGGGUGUGGUUUUAGAUGGUCACACCCUGUCACUUUAUCCCCUAAUUUACAAAGUAGGGAUAAUGAAACUACCACCUAGAGCUGUUGGCAGAUUAAUGGGACGAGGCAUGCAGAGCAUGUGGCCUAGACUUGGGGCACAGUAAGUGCACUGGAGCUCUCAGAACAGUUGUCAUUUGUGGAGUCCUUGCUUCCUAGCAUGUUGAGUGGUAGAAGGGAAUGGAUUGGGUGUCUCUUCCUCCCCGCAUAUCCUGAGGGUGGGGUGGUGUGUAUUCUACUUUGAAUUUCAGGUCUGCUUGUAUAGGGAAGCGGAACCAAAUGCCUCUUUAUGACUAUGAAUUUGUUUUCUAUAAUGUCCUAUGAAAAUAAUUUUUUAAAAAACAUGGUGAUUGUAUAGGACAUGUAGUUGAUAGUGUCAUUUUGUAAAGUUUUAUAAAAAUUGGCAAUGAAUUGGAAACAGUAAAUAAUUAUAUGUUUAUAACAUUUUAUAGUAAAAGGUAACAGCUUAUUAAAUUAGUUUCCCCAGUUAAAGUCCUUUUGGGUUGUUUUUGCCCACAGAAUUCUGGACAUACAGAGUUGCUUUUUUUUUUUGGAAGUACUAGACAGCCUCGUCUGGUCCUUCUGAGCAUGACUUCUGUGUAGCUAGGAUGACAGAUGUGGGCCACCGUGCUUAGCUUGGUGGUUGAGAUAUGUGAGAUGGGAGUCUCACUAACUUUAUGCCCAUACUGGCCUUGAACCAUGAUUCUCCUACCUCUACCUCCUGAUACAGAUGUGAACCACCUUGCUUGGCUCUGAAUGACUUAUUUUUGAUUCUUCCCUUUUUAGAACAAAUGGUGGGACCUAGAAGUUUUAGUAAGUUGUUUAUAUGGAGUAUAUAUACUAUGUAGCCUAUGAAACUAGAGGUGAAGUAUGACCAUGAGGUUGUUUUUUUCUCAUUAAUUUUUAAUGCACUUGACAUUGUUCCUGGGUGGCUCACCCUUCGAAUUUCUCAGUCAGAACACAGAUGUCUCCUAACAGAAGCUUGCUCUGUGAGAAUGUGAUAGACCAAUAUGAAUGUUUUAACAGAGUGCCCUAUUGCUCAUCGUGGUCAGUCACAAGGAUUGUAUUUCUCAUCUAUCUUUUGUGACAAAUGAGUACAUAUUAAUUUUUUUAUUGCAGUAAAAUAAUGUCUGCAUUAUGUGUCAUGUAAUGACAAAUGGCACUUUGAACCAAGAAAUGGUGCUGAGAUGUUUUGUAAUUGCAGGCAGUACUAUAUCCUAAUUGAGCCAGUUGGAAGUAUUUGUUUCUUGUUCUGUCAGGUAUGCAUUCUAGAUUAUUUAAUACAGCAUACUAGAGGACCUAAGACACAGAUCUCUGAAAAAAACAGGUAAAUAUGCCAGAGAUAGAGCUGGACAAAAGUGAAGUCACAGCCCAUGGGGGAGGGAUUUUGGAUUGCUAAAACAAGAAUGUAGAGUAGACAAAAGCAUGUUGUCCACACUUGCUACUCAGAGGUACUGAGUAGUUUCUGUGCUUGUCAUUUGACUGAAAAAAAAAAAAAGGAGCUUAAGAAUAAGAGUUCAAACUGUUAAGAAGGGAGUGGAAAUGCUCAAGAGGAAGAGUGUGUAUAGGUCAGUGCCCCUGUCCUACGAAAUGGGGACACUUCUUAGAAGUAUAAAUUCUAAAAUAAAAAGAUUAAAUUGUAUUAAUUAGUUUUCUAUUGCUCACAUAACAAAUUACCACAAGUUAGUGGUUAUUAAACACACAUUUAGUACUUUAUAGGAUUUUAGGUUGGGAGUUGGAACUUGAUCUCAGUGACCAAAAAUAGAGCUGUCGAUAGGCUGUGCUUGGCUGGCUACUUGGGAGGUGGAGAUAAGGAGGACAGAGGUUUGAGGCCAAUCUAGGCAAAAAGACACCCCCCCAUCUCAACUAGUAACCUGGACAUGUGCCGAUAAUCCCAGCUACUGGGAGGCAUAGGUAGGAGGAUCAAAGUCUGAAAUUGCUCCCAGACAACAAACUUGACCUCACACAAAAAAUGAAGCAAAAAGGGCUGGGGUAUGGUGUAAGUGGUAGAGCACCUGCAGAACAAGUUCAAGGCCCCGAGUCUAAACCCCAGUACUGCCAAGAAAGAAAAAAACAGGCUGUGCUCCUUUUCGUGCAUCUGGGAGAGAAUCUGUUUCCCUGCUUCUAGAAGUUGCUCAUAUUCCUUGGGUUCAGCCCCUUCCUCCAUCUUUUAAAGCCAGCUAUAGUCAGGUGAUUAGGGACCCACCUGGAAAAUCAGGAUAAUCUCUUUUGGCCAGCUGACCAGUAAUUUUAAUUUCAUCUGCAGUCUUUAAUGCCCCUCUCCCAUAUAAAGUAACAUUCAUAGGUUCUUGGGGAUUAGGAUGCAGAUAUCUUAGGGGUGUCAUUAUUCUGCCUGUCACAUAAGCCAUAUGGUUUAUACUUUAUUUCAGUUCAAAUUUAUAUAGAGAAACUUUGUUUUUGACUGAAUUACUGUAAAAUUACCCCCCCCCCAAAAAAAGAAGAUAUUCCUGGACGUGAAAGGCACAGUCUUAAUUCUGCAGUUGUACUUCUCCAGUGGCUAUUUUUCAGUGUUUCAGUAGUAAGGAAUCUUGUUUGAAUUUUGUAGGGGAUUGAAGUUUAGGGAAGUUAUUCUCUCUAAAAAUCAUCGAGACUUGCUUUUAGUAUAGUUAGGUUUUAGGUUUUUCCACUUCACAAAUGUAGUAAAUAUCGCAAACCUAACUUACAGAAAGUUUCCCCUUUAGACUUUAGGAGCCACGUGUUUAUUAGAGGAAGAGGUUCUCAGGAUCAGGAAGAGAGAAAGGUGAAGGCAUGAAGACUAGGACAGGUGCUUUGAGUGGAACCUAGUCAUGGUUUUCCAGUGUUCCAGCUUCUCUGUGAUAAGAAAAUGUUCCUUGUCUUUUUGGCUGGUUUGGGAUAAGGCUGCAUCUUGUACACCAUAGGAUGCCAAUAGCGCCCCCUCCAGUUACGACAACUAAAUGUCUCCAGACCUUGUCAAAUGUCCCAUGGGCAAAAAUCAAUUGGAAACCACUGCCCUAAGUGAUGCAACGGUAAGAGCAGCAGAGCUCCAACCAAGGUUUGACCACUGCAAAGUCUCUGCCAGCCUGCCUCCCAAGAGAAGACACUAAGCCACCUUGCAUGCUUCUUCUGUAGGCCAAGGGCCAAGCAGUCCUGGUAGGGCCCUCAGUACUCCGUCUCAGUUUGUCAGCAUUGCAGAAAGGAUUGGGAGAUUCUGGCAAAUGAUAAAGUGAGGUAAAGUGUAUCAGGUGCCAGCAUGUGGUGUUAAGUAUUAGGGUGUGUUUGAUAAAUGGGAAAAUUGUGUCUCUCCAGGAUUGAAAUGUUUAGUUAUUUUGACUGGUAGUGACAGUGGUCUUUUGCGAGCCACUUGAUAAAGAAAAGGUCAGUGUUACACUGUCACUUCCAUUGAGCAUGAAGACACAAUUUAAUAUAAAUUUGUAUGAGUUGUAAACAUGAAACCUGUGUUAGUGUUUCCCAUGAUUUAAAUAUCUUUCUCCUUUCCCAGUAAUCUGAUUAAAGUGCAAAGUAGAGGGAUAGAAAUUGGUUAUGCUUUUGGACCUGUAGCUGAUUCCACUAGAUUUACCUAAAAGUUUGUGUCCUGUUCCUGUAGAAAAAGAAUUCUGAUGGGCCAGGCAUGGUGGUGUUUGCCUGUAAUCCCAGCUAUUUGAGAGGUAGAGCUAAGAGGAUCACAGUUUGAGGCCCACCUGGGCAAAAAGUUAGCAAGACCCUAUCUCAAAACCACGUUGGGUGUGGUGGGUCAUUACUGUAAUCUCAGCUGCCUAGGAGGUAGAGAUAGAAUUGUGGUCCAAGGCACAGGCAGAAACUUGAGACCCUAUCGGAAGCUAAAACAAAACUAAGCAAAAA